GAUGAACGCUGGCGGCAUGCUUAACACAUGCGAGUCGAACGGGAAGUGGUGUUUCCAGUGGCUAACGGGUGAGUAACGCGUAAGAACCUGCCCUUGGGAGGGGAACAACAACUGGAAACGGUUGCUAAUACCCCGUAGGCCGAGGAGCAAAAGGAGAAAUCCGCCCAAGGAGGGGUUCGCGUCUGAUUAGCUAGUUGGUGAUGUAAUAGCUUACCAAGGCGAUGGUCUGUAGCUGGUCCGAGAGGAUGAUCAGCCACACUGGGACUGAGACACGGACCAGACUCCUUCGGGAGACAGGAGUGGGGAAUUUUCCGCAAUGCGCGAUAGCCUGACGGAGCAAUGCCGCGUGGAGGUGGAAGGCCUACGGGUCGUCAACUUCUUUUCUCGGAGAAGAAACAAUGACGGUAUCUGAGGAAUAAGCAUCGGCUAACUCUGUG
This 437-nucleotide ribosomal RNA is filed under the name uncultured bacterium. RNAcentral describes it as "partial 16S ribosomal RNA". It matches the Rfam family "Bacterial small subunit ribosomal RNA", at positions 28 to 507 of the family's 1533-position model. The record is from RNAcentral.